Non-coding RNA from Marasmius sp. AFHP31, 99 nucleotides. Lineage: Eukaryota; Fungi; Basidiomycota; Agaricomycetes; Agaricales; Marasmiaceae. The record is from the annotation of a GenBank genome assembly.
UGCCCCAUGGCUGAGUUGGUUACAGCGUCCGACUGUUAUCAUCAGUUGACUAAAGAAGUAACAAUCGGAAGGUCGUGAGUUCGAGCCUCACUGGGGCAG